Molecule: microRNA precursor, 100 nt
Filed under: Podarcis lilfordi (Lilford's wall lizard)
Lineage: Eukaryota; Metazoa; Chordata; Lepidosauria; Squamata; Lacertidae
Rfam family: mir-199 microRNA precursor family (bases 11-90)
About the family: This family consists of the microRNA (miRNA) precursor mir-199 which appears to be specific to humans. Animal miRNAs are transcribed as ~70nt precursors and subsequently processed by the Dicer enzyme to give a ~22nt product.
Source: RNAcentral
ACCCUAUCCUGCUCCGUCGCCCCAGUGUUCAGACUACCUGUUCAGGACAAUGCUGUUGUACAGUAGUCUGCACAUUGGUUAGACUGGGCAAGGGAACGCA